GACGAACGCUGGCGGCGUGCUUAACACAUGCAAGUCGAGCGGUAAGGCCUUUCGGGGUACACGAGCGGCGAACGGGUGAGUAACACGUGGGUGAUCUGCCCUGCACUUCGGGAUAAGCCUGGGAAACUGGGUCUAAUACCGGAUAUGACCUCCUAUCGCAUGGUGGGUGGUGGAAAGAUUUAUCGGUGCAGGAUGGGCCCGCGGCCUAUCAGCUUGUUGGUGGGGUAAUGGCCUACCAAGGCGACGACGGGUAGCCGACCUGAGAGGGUGACCGGCCACACUGGGACUGAGACACGGCCCAGACUCCUACGGGAGGCAGCAGUGGGGAAUAUUGCACAAUGGGCGAAAGCCUGAUGCAGCGACGCCGCGUGAGGGAUGACGGCCUUCGGGGUGUAAACCUCUUUCAGCAGGGACGAAGCGCAAGUGACGGUACCUGCAGAAGAAGCACCGGCUAACUACG
This 460-nucleotide ribosomal RNA is filed under the name uncultured bacterium. RNAcentral's name for it is "partial 16S ribosomal RNA". It matches the Rfam family "Bacterial small subunit ribosomal RNA", at positions 28 to 505 of the family's 1533-position model. The record is from RNAcentral.